This 253-nucleotide ribosomal RNA is filed under the name uncultured bacterium. RNAcentral's name for it is "partial 16S ribosomal RNA". It matches the Rfam family "Bacterial small subunit ribosomal RNA", at positions 524 to 776 of the family's 1533-position model. The record is from RNAcentral.
UACGUAGGGUGCGAGCGUUAAUCGGAAUUACUGGGCGUAAAGCGUGCGCAGGCGGUUCGUUAAGUUCGAUGUGAAAGCCCCGGGCUCAACCUGGGAAUUGCAUUGGAAACUGGCGGGCUUGAGUGUGGCAGAGGGGGGUGGAAUUCCACGUGUAGCAGUGAAAUGCGUAGAUAUCGGGAGGAACAUCUGUGGCGAAGGCGACACCCUGGACCAGCACUGACACUGAGGCACGAAAGCGUGGGGAGCAAACAGG